CAUUUUCCUUCAACCAGCAAGGGCUUUCCCGGCGUCUUGGCAGAGGCACACAGGUCUGGGGAGCACAAACUGCCGCCCUGUUGACAGGGAUCCGGUAACAUCUGUGUCGCCUUCAGGAAGAGGCACUCCUCGCCACGAGCAAUUCCAAAUAGUUCAUACCACUCUGGUGAAAACGCCACCGUCAGCUUCCCAAACGCACGCACACGAGAUACUGGUCAACAGCCCUCACUUUAAAGUUGUCUUGCUUGUUAUUCUGGGAGCUCGGUUUCGUCACCUGCACUGGAAUGCAUUAUGCAGUCUCUACUUGAGAAUCUGGAGCGGUCUCUGCGUUCACCGCGGGGAUGGACCGGUUGCUGCCUGCACUUGCUAGCUAUAAACUACGGAGACACGAGGUACUCAGCCCGCUUUCAGAGAUUAUCUGUGAUAGGUGAAUAGGAGGUAUUUUCAAGAUCAAGCAGAAACAGGAAAUCUAAGGUUUCAACAUGCUAGGUUGUGAAAUUGAGGACUUUCUUUUCUAUGACUGGAGCAAAGUAUAGUUCACAAAUACACAUCAUGAAGACAGAGUGUUUUUAUAAGAAAUAGAAGGUUUUUAAGAAUCUGUGUCAGAAGAGUUUCAAGAGCAGGGUGGAUUUUCUACGUUGUCAUGAAAGAGGAAAGCUGGAAGCAGGGAAGGAGCAAAGAGGGGUUUCGGAAGACUACAGAGCACACCGACAAGAGUCAGGGUGGUGACAGAAGAGGAAGUGGCUGCCAUCCUUGAUCUGCAUCGGCAAGAACUUCAAGACCUCCUCGCUUUCAGCAAAAUUGCAUAAUCUGCAUAGCAAAGUUUGUUAAGAAGCCUUCCUCUAAUCCUGAUGCUGGAGGAGUCUUCUUUUAUAAUUCAGCUUCUCUGGUGACCUGCUCAGCAUACAGGUUGAAUAAGUAUGAUGAGAGGAUACAACCCUGAUGCUCACCUUUCCUGACUUGAAACCCUGCAGCAUGCCGUUAGUCUGUUCUUACUCUGGAAGUUCUGUGAACACCUGAUGACUUUGGGUGACCCUGGUGGUAC
Long non-coding RNA from Echinops telfairi (small Madagascar hedgehog), 1045 nucleotides. RefSeq lists it as uncharacterized. The transcript has 4 exons. The record is from RefSeq and is a predicted model, not a curated record. Lineage: Eukaryota; Metazoa; Chordata; Mammalia; Afrosoricida; Tenrecidae.